This 565-nucleotide long non-coding RNA is filed under the name Lathyrus oleraceus (garden pea). Its description in RNAcentral is "Pisum sativum (pea) long non-coding RNA (PSAT_LNC005904)". The record is from RNAcentral. Lineage: Eukaryota; Viridiplantae; Streptophyta; Magnoliopsida; Fabales; Fabaceae.
CUUGCAAACGGUACUAGGUGCUUCUAAGCUUAUUGAGACACUACAAACUGUGCUAAGCUUAUUGGACACUACAAACUGUGCUAAGAAGAUGUGUCGGCAAUCGGCUGUUCGGUUCAACUGAUAAUAUUAUUCUAACUGGAGAAUUUGCUGUCACCCAUUUAAAGAAAGCCAUAUCAUACUUCCAUGAUCAUUUUGAUUACUUGAAAAACAGUUGCUGCCAAUGUCGGCACUAUUAAGAAUACAAGUGUCUGCAAACACUUUUGUAUGUUGGGUCUUGGGCCGUCUUUGUAUUACACUUGUAUUAGACAUUGUAUGAUUACCUGCUAUAAACCAACAUCAUGCAGUGGCAUCCAAACACAUGAACCUCUCGCAUCAAACCAACCUGAGGCAGUCAUCCUGCUUCGAUUGUCAAGAAACAGGGUACCAUCCUAAUGAUCGUCCUUCACAUCGACACUCCAUGAACGCCCAACAUACAUUUUCUCCGACCACUCUCCCCAACCAACAUUUUCUCAACAGAAUAUAUAACAGAACCUUUUCAACCACCUGCUAACCGAAUAAACCUUUU